GGGGCUCAAGUGAUAUUUGAUCAGUUCCUUAGCAGCGGUGAAUCAAAGUGGUUGCGUCAAACUGGGCUUGUUUUACUUCUUCCUCAUGGAUAUGAUGGUCAGGGUCCUGAACAUUCAAGUGCACGGUUGGAACGCUUCCUUCAGAUGAGUGAUGACAAUCCUUAUGUCAUUCCUGAAAUGGACCCAACUCUUAGGAAGCAAAUCCAGGAAUGUAAUUGGCAAGUCAUAAAUGUUACAACCCCUGCUAAUUACUUCCAUGUCUUGCGGCGUCAGCUACACAGGGGAUUCCGUAAGCCCCUUGUUGUGAUGGCUCCCAAAAACCUACUUCGCCACAAGGACUGCAAAUCAAAUCUGUCUGA
Molecule: unclassified non-coding RNA, 359 nt
Filed under: Hevea brasiliensis (rubber tree)
Lineage: Eukaryota; Viridiplantae; Streptophyta; Magnoliopsida; Malpighiales; Euphorbiaceae
Source: RNAcentral